AAUCAACCGAGAUUCCCCCAGUAGCGGCGAGCGAACGGGGAGCAGCCCGGAGUCUGAAUCAGCUUGUGUGUUAGUGGAACGGUCUGGAAAGUCCGACGGUACAGGGUGAUAGUCCCGUACACGAAAACACACUUGCUGUGAACUCGAAGAGUAGGGCGGGACACGUGGUAUCCUGUCUGAAUAUGGGGGGACCAUCCUCCAAGGCUAAAUACUCCUGACUGACCGAUAGUGAACCAGUACCGUGAGGGAAAGGCGA
Molecule: ribosomal RNA, 256 nt
Filed under: Enterobacter hormaechei
Lineage: Bacteria; Pseudomonadati; Pseudomonadota; Gammaproteobacteria; Enterobacterales; Enterobacteriaceae
Also listed under: 1 other name
Description: partial 23S ribosomal RNA
Rfam family: Bacterial large subunit ribosomal RNA
Source: RNAcentral